ACCCUAUUAUAAAAAAUAUAAAUAAUUUAUUAGGGUAGUAUUAGUUAUAUUCUUGAAAUUUAAAAAAUUUGGCGGUAUUUUAGUCUUUUCAGAGGAACCUGUCCUGUAAUCGAUACUCCACGAUAAGUUGCACUUAAUUCAUAAAUUUAUAUAUCGUCGUAAUUUGAAUAUCUUUGGAAAGAACUAAUAUUCAUAAUUUAAUAUUUAUAGAAAAAAUCAGAUCAAGGUGUAGUUUAUAGUUAAGAAGAGGUGGGUUACAAUAAAUUUAUUUAAAUGGUUAUAUUAAUUAAAAAUAGUAUAUAAAGUGGAUUUGAAAGUAAUAUAUUUAAUUUAAUUUAUAUGAUUUAAGCUCUAAAAUAUG
RNAcentral lists this ribosomal RNA (361 nucleotides) under Helictopleurus fissicollis. Its description in RNAcentral is "partial 12S ribosomal RNA". The record is from RNAcentral. Lineage: Eukaryota; Metazoa; Arthropoda; Insecta; Coleoptera; Scarabaeidae.